RNAcentral lists this ribosomal RNA (424 nucleotides) under uncultured prokaryote. RNAcentral describes it as "bacterial SSU rRNA". It matches the Rfam family "Bacterial small subunit ribosomal RNA", at positions 355 to 796 of the family's 1533-position model. The record is from RNAcentral.
UGGGGAAUCUUGGACAAUGGGGGCAACCCUGAUCCAGCCAUGCCGCGUGAGCGAUGAAGGCCCUAGGGUUGUAAAGCUCUUUCACCCGUGACGAUGAUGACGGUAGCGACAGAAGAAGCCCCGGCUAACUCCGUGCCAGCAGCCGCGGUAAUACGGAGGAUGCAAGCGUUAUCCGGAAUGAUUGGGCGUAAAGCGUCCGCAGGUGGUUAUGCAAGUCUGCUGUUAAAGAGUGGAGCUUAACUCCAUAAAGGCGGUGGAAACUGCGUGACUAGAGUGCGUUCGGGGCAGAGGGAAUUCCUGGUGUAGCGGUGAAAUGCGUAGAUAUCAGGAAGAACACCGGUGGCGAAAGCGCUCUGCUAGGCCGUAACUGACACUGAGGGACGAAAGCUAAGGGAGCGAAUGGGAUUAGAUACCCCCGUAGUCC